This 315-nucleotide unclassified non-coding RNA is filed under the name plant metagenome. Its description in RNAcentral is "partial contains 5.8S ribosomal RNA, internal transcribed spacer 2, and large subunit ribosomal RNA". The stretch from base 1 to 105 matches the Rfam family "5.8S ribosomal RNA", at positions 50 to 154 of the family's 154-position model. The record is from RNAcentral.
GAACUGCGAUAAGUAAUGUGAAUUGCAGAAUUCAGUGAAUCAUCGAGUCUUUGAACGCACAUUGCGCCCCCUGGCAUUCCGGGGGGCAUGCCUGUCCGAGCGUCAUUGCUGCCCUUCAAGCCCGGCUUGUGUGUUGGGUCGUCGUCCCCUCCGGGGGACGGGCCCGAAAGGCAGCGGCGGCACCGCGUCCGGUCCUCGAGCGUAUGGGGCUUUGACACCCGCUCGAUAAGGACCGGCCGGGCGCCAGCCGGCGUCUCCAACCUUUUUUUCUCAGGUUGACCUCGGAUCAGGUAGGGAUACCCGCUGAACUUAAGC